UUGUGUUCCUGUGUUUUGGCAGCCGUGGAUCGUUCUCGAGGGAGCAGGUGAAGGAGAUAGCUAAUGGGUUGGAGAGAAGCGGCCAGAGAUUUUUGUGGGUGGUGAAAAUUCCACCUGUGGAUAACAAAAGCAAGGAAAUCAAGGAAGAAAAUUUGGUGUGGAACGACUUUGAUUUGGAUGAGCUUAUGCCAGAAGGGUUCUUGGAAAGAACCAAUAAUAGGGGAAUGGUGGUGAAGUCAUGGGCGCCGCAGGUGGCGGUGCUGAGACACCAAUCCGUGGGUGGGUUUGUGUCUCACGUGGGGUGGAACUCAGUGUUGGAAGCGGUGGUUGCGGGAGUGCCAAUGGUGGCAUGGCCUCUCCACGCCGAACAACACCUGAAUAAGGCUGUUUUGGUCGAGAAUAUGAAGAUGGCCAUUGGUGUGGAGCAGAGAGAUGGUGACAGGUUUGUGAGUGGGGCUGAGUUGGAGAGGCGACUCAAAGAGUUGAUGGAUUCUGAAGAGGGGAGAGAGCUGAGAGAGAGAAGCGAGAAGAUAAGAGAGAUGGCGGUGGAAGCUUGGAGAGAGGAGGGAUCAUCCACUACGGCCCUUGCCAAGUUGGCCGAGAUCUGGAAGCAUGAUUAAGGUUGCAGGUCAAUAUAGGUAAGAGUGAGCCCAUUCCGGAUUGAAUUGCUAAUAGUUUUUGAGUUAAUCCUUUGCUCAUUGGUAAUUAGGUUGCAUCGAUCUACUCGUUAUAUAAGAGACUGGUUCACUAUUAUAUUUAAAAUUACUAUUAAGAAAAAUAAAUAUACUUUCCUUUUGAGUAGUUGUACAUAUUUAAGAAGCAUCAUAUAUAAAAUUAUAAUUAAGAAAAUUAAAUAUAUGUAACUUAUCCUAUGCAACUUGUCUUAUAUAUAUGUAUGUCUAGGACAAGUUGCACCAACCUAUGUUUCUCGUAGUCAUAAUUUUAUAUAUGAUAUAUGCUCCUUAAAUAUAUACGAUUCGAAGCAUAUUGUAAGCAUUGUAUAUAAAAUUACGAUUAAAAAAAAUAAACAUAGAUAGUGUAACUUAUCCUACCCAACUUGCCCUAUAUAUAUGCGACAAGUUGCACCAACCUAUGUUUCUCUUAGUCAUAAUUUUAUGUAUAAUAUAGGCCCCUUAAAUAUAUACAACUCGUAGCAUAUUGUAAGCAUUGUAUAUAAAAUUAUAAUUAAGAAAAUUAAAUAUUGGUUGUGUAACUUAUCCUACGCAACUUUGUCCUAUAUAUAUAUAUAUAUAUAUAUAUAGAUAUAGAUAUAGGACAAGUUGCACCAACCUAUGUUUCUCAUAGUCAUAAUUUUAUAUAUAAUAUAUUAUGCUCCUUAAAUAUAUACAACUCAGAGCAUAUUGUAAGCAUUGUAUAUAAAAUUAUGAUUAAGAAAAGUAUAUAUACUUUCCUCUCGAGUUGGUCAACUUGCCCUAUAUGUAUCUUGAAUUAUAUGUAUUCAAAGAACAAAUUGUAACCAUUGUAUAUAAAAUUAUAAAGAAGAAAAACAUAUAUAUUUUCCUCUUGAGUAGUUGUAUAUAUUUAAGAAGCAAUGAGAGAAAAGCAAAAAAAUAAAAUAAAAAUAAAGAUUUGACAAUUAAUAAUAGCUUAUUUAACUAAAAACAACAAGAUUAAGCUAUUUACAUUCAAACUUAUUUUUCAAAGUAAAAAAUUUUGAUUAAAAGAAUUAAAUUUGUGGCUAAAAGAGAACUAUAAAUGUAUAUAUAUAUAUAUAUAUAUAUAUAUAUAUAUAUUAAAUAAAAUUAUAUAAAAUUGUUAGUUAUAAAUUUUAAAUAUUUUAUUCAGGAAUAUACUUAUACACAAGAGAAAUUUAGAAUAUGGGACUGUAAUAAAAUUUUAUUUUAAACAAAUAUUAAAUAUUAAAAAUAAUAUAUAUUUUAUUUUAUUUUCCUUUUAUUUAUUUUACAAACUAAAUAUAAAUAUAACAUAAUAGAUUUUAUUGUAUAUAGCAUCUUAAGUUUUCAUUUCCAUUCUAUCCUAUUGUAUUCCAAUAGCCAAAUUGUAACCUAAGAGCAAAACCUUAGGAUUGAGGAAGAGAACCCAACGAGGGAGACAGUUGUCCCUUUUUUGAAUCUGCUUUUUCAUCUCCUCUUAUAGAUCAUCCUCAACCAGUGUUUGAAAUAUAAAAAAAUUACGGCGAAAUUUCGCUUAUCGUCCGGCUCCGACUUGAUAUUAUUGGUCGACGGAAAUUUCGGUAAUAUUUCGGAAAUAUCACCGAUAUUUCUGUAUUUAUCGGUAUUUUUACCGAUUUUUUGGGAAAUUCCCCGAUAUUUCCUACCAAUCCAGCUCACGCACAGGAUACAAAAUCUGUCCAUUUUUUUUUUAUUUUAAAAAAAAACAAAUAAGAUGCUGUUUGGUAAUCUGAUCAUGAUUUGCAGGCAAAGGUUGUGCUUUUUCAGUUAAAUUUAAAUCCAGUGGCAUGGAUUUUCACGGAAAUCAAACGAGGAUGCAUUUUCCCGGAAAUCAAAUGGGGGAUGGAUUUUCUUGGGAAUCAAAGGGGGUUGCAAAAAAACAAAAAUAAAUAAAUAACAUGAUUAGAUUAGUACCUGCGAGGAUUGAGAAUGGCAGAGGAAAAUAGGGCCUUUUUAGGGAUUCUCUCGUCUGGAGGGCAACUUCAGACAAGGGCUUCUUGAUGCCUCGAGUGAGAGAAGUGGGUGGCCUUUUGAGUUCGAUCCCUG
Molecule: long non-coding RNA, 2699 nt
Filed under: Vitis vinifera (wine grape)
Lineage: Eukaryota; Viridiplantae; Streptophyta; Magnoliopsida; Vitales; Vitaceae
Description: long non-coding RNA (VVIN_LNC006264)
Source: RNAcentral